UUUAUAAAACUCGAAUAUCCUCGUGUUUUAUGCAUUUUGAUGGCGUUACGGAGCAACUUUGCAAAGUUACACGCCAAAGGCUUAAGAAAUUUCUUGAGUGUAGGUCAAAAUGGGCCAAACUUAAAUGUCAACAAGCUGAUAUAGCUAAGAAAUCGGUACGAGAACAUCGAUGACGGAUCUGUCAAUUCAUACAUGGAGAAGAACCCUGACACCAUUAACUUAGAAUGGAACCAUCAUAUGAAAUGCUGGAAGAGAUUUUGUGAUGAAGAGAAGAUCUGUAGAUAACAGAGAAAAGAAGAAAAAGGAGAAGGAACUAGCUGUAAAACUGUAACUUCUACCGAAGAAUCACACGUGGAAGUGGAGGACAAUAGAACCAAGGCGAAAAAUUACACGUCAAUCAGUCGCAGAAGCUAUAAAUAUAAAGGCCCUGCCUAAAAGAAACGCGCAUGUACUCCCAGAGAUAUGUAUUAUUUGUGGAAGAGACGCCUCGUGGUUCUCACUAGACAAGGUAUGGUCAUUUUGAUAGGUAUAAUACUAGC
This 539-nucleotide long non-coding RNA is filed under the name Paramuricea clavata. The record is from RNAcentral. Lineage: Eukaryota; Metazoa; Cnidaria; Anthozoa; Malacalcyonacea; Plexauridae.